This 1257-nucleotide unclassified non-coding RNA is filed under the name Spencerozyma sp. Its description in RNAcentral is "partial miscellaneous RNA". The stretch from base 586 to 1257 matches the Rfam family "Eukaryotic large subunit ribosomal RNA", at positions 1 to 657 of the family's 3401-position model. Lineage: Eukaryota; Fungi; Basidiomycota; Microbotryomycetes; Chrysozymaceae. The record is from RNAcentral.
UGCGGAAGGAUCAUUAAUGAAUUAGUAGACUCGUAACCCGAGUCGACCCUUCAUUUCCAACACUGUGCACUUUUUGGACUGUCGGAUUGCGUAAAGGCUGAACGUCUCAGGACUACUAAGCUGCGACUGACAAUAGUCUACUUUACCAUUAAACUCUAAAGUUAAUGUAUGUACAAAACUUAUAACAAAGAAAAACUUUCAACAACGGAUCUCUUGGCUCUCGCAUCGAUGAAGAACGCAGCGAAAUGUGAUAAGUAAUGUGAAUUGCAGAAUUCAGUGAAUCAUCGAAUCUUUGAACGCAUCUUGCGCUCCUUGGUAUUCCGAGGAGCAUGUCUGUUUGAGUGUCAUGAAAUCUUCAACAUGAUAUUUUCUUGUUAAAAUAUCAAUGCUUGGAUUCUGAACGUCUUUGCUCUCGCGCUUUCCCUCGUGAAAGAUUGUGACAGCUCGUUCGUAAAACAUUAGCGUCAACCAACACGAAUCGGUUUGACUCGGCGUAAUAGACUAUUCGCUGAGGAUUUCUCUUCGGAGAAGCCGUACUAGAAAUGGCAACGCUUCAAACCUAGUAAUUGUCUACUAUUGAUAAUUCGACCUCAAAUCAGAUAGGACUACCCGCUGAACUUAAGCAUAUCAAUAAGCGGAGGGAAAAGAAAAAAAGAAACUAACAAGGAUUCCCCUAGUAGCGGCGAGCGAAGCGGGAAGAGCUCAAAUUUGAAAUCUGGCACUUUCAGUGUCCGAGUUGUAAUCUCGAGAAGUGUUUUCCGCGCCAGACCGCAUACAAGUCUGUUGGAAUACAGCGUCAUAGUGGUGAGAACCCAGUACAUGAUGCGGAUGCCUGGUGCUUUGUGAUACACUUUCGAAGAGUCGAGUUGUUUGGGAAUGCAGCUCAAAAUGGGUGGUAAAUUCCAUCUAAAGCUAAAUAUUGGCGAGAGACCGAUAGCGAACAAGUACCGUGAGGGAAAGAUGAAAAGCACCUUGGAAAGGGAGUUAAACAGUACGUGAAAUUGUUGGAAGGGAAACGCUUGAAGUCAGACUUGCUAUCUGGAGUUCAUCCGCAAGGAGUAUUCUUCAGUUCGCAGGCCAGCAUCAGUUUUCUGGGGUGGAAAAGGAUACGAGGAAGGUAGCAGCUCUCGUGGCUGUGUUAUAGCCUCGUAUUGGAUUCACUCUGGGGGACUGAGGAACGCAGUGUGCUUUUAGCGGGGCUUUCGAGCCUUUCACACUUAGGAUGCUGGUAGAAUGGCUUUAAACGACCCGUCUUGA